UACGGAGGAUGCAAGCGUUAUCCGGAAUGAUUGGGCGUAAAGCGUCCGCAGGUGGCUGUGUAAGUCUGCUGUCAAAGAGCAAAGCUCAACUUUGUAAAGGCAGUGGAAACUACACGGCUAGAGUGCGUUCGGGGCAGAGGGAAUUCCUGGUGUAGCGGUGAAAUGCGUAGAGAUCAGGAAGAACACCGGUGGCGAAGGCGCUCUGCUAGGCCGCAACUGACACUGAAGGACGAAAGCUAGGGGAGCGAAUGGG
This 253-nucleotide ribosomal RNA is filed under the name uncultured bacterium. Its description in RNAcentral is "partial 16S ribosomal RNA". It matches the Rfam family "Bacterial small subunit ribosomal RNA", at positions 524 to 776 of the family's 1533-position model. The record is from RNAcentral.